This 9870-nucleotide long non-coding RNA is filed under the name Citrus x clementina. RNAcentral's name for it is "Citrus clementina (C. clementina) long non-coding RNA (CCLE_LNC000549)". Lineage: Eukaryota; Viridiplantae; Streptophyta; Magnoliopsida; Sapindales; Rutaceae. The record is from RNAcentral.
UUAGCGCACAUAAUUAAGGAUAAUAUUAUAGUUUUUGUUAAGGAACACGAUUCAUGUAUGCUUUGACGAACAACAUGUUCAAGGAGCAAAUUAGUCCAAGCAUGCAUUAUCUCAUAGACCACAACAACACUUAUUUCAUUUAUUUAUUUAUUAGUCAUGAGAUAGAAGAUGGAGGAAAUUCAACCAAUACGAGGAACCCUAAUCACCUUCCCUUUCUUGUUGACCCAAACACGAACCCUGUCAAUCCUAUAGUCCUUAGUAACUGGAGUUCCCUCAAGUAAUACGAUUGCAUGAACACAAGGAUUCUCUUUCUCUAUAAUAGCAGCAGCAACCUUCCCGUUUUUACCAACCAGCUCUGGCCAUGAGCUCUUGCCUGUGAAGGAUUUCAUAAGAAAAUUAAACUUUGUUGAGAAAUGAUCAAAAUCUCCAAGUUGUUUCAAUAAUGAAAUUAAAAAAAGGAAAAGCAUGGCGUUUUAUACUUACGUGGACAAUCAAAUGCAGACGUGACUAGGUUUGGUCCAUCUUCCACAACUCCUUUCAAUGCAGAUACGAUGACUUCAGAGCGAAGCUCCUUGCCAUCGGUCAGGCAAGGCUCAUGACGAGCGGCCAAAGAGGGUUUUGCGGCGAAGGCUGUUAGAGUGCAAUUUAUGCACUAGUUUUGCAUUGUUUACUUUCCUUAAUAUCGAUAUUUUGCACUUAAUAAUAGUGAUUUACUUGUGUUUUAUUUUUGUAGGUGCAAUUCUAUUGAUUGAUGCUAAAAUUGAGUUACAAGAUGAUAUUUGAGGAUGAUUGUUUUCUUGGAGAAAUUUUGAGCGUCAGAAAAACUUUAUUGAUAAGGCGUGGGCGCGUGCUGUCAACUACGGACCUGUAGUUUUUAGUUUAACGUGUUUUGUAUUUUUGGUUAUUUUUGUAAUUACGAAUUUAAUAUUUCAGAUAUUAGUAUUUUAUUUUAAAAAAGAUGAUGUUUAAGGAUGAUUGUUUUCUUGGAGAAAUUUUGAGUGUCAGAAAAACUUUAUUGAUAAAGCGUGGACGCGUGCUGUCAACUGCGGACCAGCAGUUUUUAGUUUAACAUGUUUUGUAUUUUUGGUUAUUUUUGUAAUUACGAAUUUAAUAUUUCAUAUAUUAGUAUUUUAUUUUUAAAAGAACUCUAGAGGAAAAGAGAGAGAGAGUAUUUAAGGGAGGAAUCUAUUGUGAAAAAGAGGGGAUUUUUCAAGAAAAGAAAGAAACCCUAGAUCUAAAUUUUUCUCUUCUCUCUAUGAAGAACUAAAUCUAUUAUUCUGGUUGAAGGUUAAUGAAGCUUUGAUUCAUCACUACUGUGAGAUCUUUCUUAUACUUUAAUUGUUUUAUUACUUUUUGGGUAUUUGUUUAUUCUCUGAAUUAUUUUGAUGAUUAUGUUUGUUAAUUAGAUAACUGGCCACUAUUUAAUUAUCAACUUAAUCUCUUGUCAAUUAAAGGAUUCAUGGUAUGAAGAUUUUAAUGUUUGUGACAAAUAGCAUAGCAGUGAGUUAUGUUAUGAGAAUAAAUAAUCUAAUUUAAAUGAACCAUCGUAUGCGUUUGUUGAUUAGGAUUUGGGUGUCUCUGGUUUUUUAGGCUAUCAAUUAAUUAAAUCUUAUGAUCGUAUCUAGGGUUGUCUAUUGAUUAGGGAAAUAACAAACGGUCGUACCUUGGUUAUCAACUAGUUAAGAAGAGAUUGACUAUUAGAGGGUCUCAGUAGGUAUAAUCGGUCUAUUCAUAAGUAGUAAUAAUUUAUAUUUGAAUCAAUGAUCAGUAGUCGAAUCAAGCUGAGUUAAUUCCUUCAACCAGAGCUUUCUCCAAUUUGAAUUACAACUUUAAUUUGCAUUCUUAUUAUUUUAAUUUGAUUUUUAUUAUUGUCAACAAUUCCCCCAUUUUACGUUUUACAUUUUAAAAGGAUUUAAAUAAUUACCGAUCUCUGUGGACAUGACCAUGCUCAAUCACUAUACACAAUUUAUUUAGAGCAGUUAUUUAUUUUUGCUGGCUUCGACAACCAUCAAAGGCCAAGAGAAAGAAGAAAAGGGCGAGUGCUGGUAAUGAACUCUUCAUUGCUAAUAAUUAAUUGUUAUUUCGAAGGCUCUUUGCAAAGUGAAACUGAAAGCAGAAGAGCUUGCUAUUUAUAGGGCCUAAACUUGCGUGCCAAAUUUUAUGAUUGAUUAUGUGUGUGGUCAUGAAAUUUUACCAAAUAAUUUAAUUUUCAUUGGGGUAAAUACCAUUUAGUCAUUAUAAUUUGACUUACGUGCAUGUUUUGGCAACAUAUAAUCAAAUAAGAAAAAUAACGUUAUGGCAACAUAUAAUCAAUAUUUUUAUAGCUAAAAUAAUUUUAAAAAAGCAAAAUAUAGAGAUUGGAAAAUACCAAGUUACCAAAUACUUUUGUAGGCUUCAUUGGUCAAUAAACUAGUAAAAAAGUCAUUACAUUGUUAAAAUACGCAGUCAUAAGCCAAGUCCAUCAACAAAAAAAAAAAAAAAAAAAACAUUUUCACAUUCCAACCACUAAGCCGACAAAUAAAUCAAGUUCACAAUCCAACUACUACUCAUAAUAGUUUAUUAUCUGUAAUUCAAGUCCUAUACAACUACCAAAAUAAAUCAACUACCCUUACCAGAAGCAACAAGAGCUUGCAAUCAUCAGCCAAAUUCAACUGGCAGGACCAGACUAACAGGUCUCGAAAAUAAUAAGCAAAGGAGCAAAUUAUUUGAAAUUUCUUGUUUCUUUUUUUUAUAUUUAGUUUUACUCAUUAUUAUUAUUAUUAUUGUUAUAUUAUUUUUUAAGCCCAAUCUGAUACAUUUCUGCCAAACAAAUAGAAACGUACAGCUCCGAUUUUGCUAAUAAAAAUUAUUGCCAAAUUUAGCUAACUGAUCUACGAAUUAUUAAAUCAACAUUAACCAAUAUCAGAGAUCACCCAAGAAAAGAAACUGCUCUUUUUCCCUGGCUAAACUAACCAUAUUCAAGGCUCAGACUCAGAUCAAUACUUGGAACAACCCCUGCAUCUUUGGCCACUUACAAAUUUACACUAAUCUCAUAGCUUCUGCCUCUGCAACUGCAAGCCCAAUACCUUCUAAUUUGGAACAGCUAGAGCCAUACAUUUCGAAGUAAACUGCAGUAUUGGCUGCUGUAUCACUAGCUGCAUCUACAUUCAAUUACAAUCUGGGUCUUUGCUUUACUCUUCUGAAAGAGCAAAUGAUUGCUACAGCUCUUGCCACCAAGAUGGCAACUACAUCCCUCUACAUUGGAUGGAAUGUACAGAAUAUUCAAUUACAGGUUAAAAUACUUGGUCUUUGAUGUUCAAUAAUGGCAAAUAUGCAUGUAUCAAGCAUUAUCCCUACAAAUAUUAGUAUUUCAGUUCAUUGAUGCAUGAUUCUUUGACAGCAUGUUGGCAUAUUAAUAAAGACGUGGAUAAUUUUGUUGACCUCACUUGAUAUUUCACUCAAACAGAAGCAAAUCACACUUGUUUAAUUUUUUGCAGGAACUUUUACCACAGGAUGAGGAUAUUUCUGGCAAAUUUUAUUUUAAGAACAAUAAGAUUGGGACCAAUAUUAGGUCUAUUGAUUAUGGUUUGGAAUUUUUUUUUUUAAUUUUGGUGGAUAAAAUAUGUCAAGUUUUUGGGAAAGACUGAAUGAAAGAUGUUUUGCUAUUCCAGUCAAAUUUUAUGAUUCCUUUAACCAAUGGUAAUUAUAUGUUGCCUAUUUUAGUGCUUAUGCAGGCAGGCAGGCUCUGGAGAGAAAUUAUCAUAUCCAUAUCAAGUAAAACCAUUGCGAUACUGCGUGAAGGACAAAUGGCCCAUGAGGAAGGAGAGCUUGGAAAAUCAUCUUUUCAAAAGAACUUAAGGAAAUUUAGAUCCUGUUUAGAAUUGAGGUGUUUUAACUUUUAAGUUACAGUUAGUUGUGAAAAAAUGUUGUAACUAUGAAAUAAAAAUAAUAAUACUAUAUAAGUAAUAUAAAUUUUCAAUAAUAAUUUUAACAAAAUUAGUGAAGAUAUAAUCGAUUUUCUAUCAUAUAAGUGAAAAAUCAUAUCAACAUAACUUUCAAGUUACAACAGUUAGUGUUUACCAAACACUUUGGUAAUGUAGCUUUUAAGUUAUAGUGCCCAGCCUCAAUUCCAAACAGACCCUUAGAAGCGAAAGAAAACAAAGAUUGCAUGUCCAUGGGUAUUUUUGCAGUAAUCGAUGAAAUGCCUGAUUGCAAAAUCCUUUGAAGUUGAAAUUGCAAAGGACUUGAAAGACAUGAAAUUGCCGUUAGAGUUGCUAAAACCCCGGUUGCUAUACAAAGUUCCAAGAAGCAAAAUAUUUAUAGAAAUAUCAAGCCUUUAAUUAAGCUAAGGAGCUAUAUUGGAGUGUUCCUAUUAUGGUAUUGUUGUAUCAAUUGACUAUCAGUAAAAAGUAUACAUUUAAUAAAGGUGAAAUUUAUCAUUUUUCAUUUCUAGUAUUGAUAACACUAACAAUUUCAUCACAUUAUAAAUUUUAACUUAUUUUAUGAAUUAUCUAUUUUUAUUUAUUUUUAAGUAAGAUUUUUAUUUUCUGUAGGUAAAUCCCUAAAUUCAUUAUGCUUGGAUUGGAAAAACGAAAGUGAAAUUUGGAUUUUAGAGACUUAGAAGUUUUUGGAAGAAUUGAUAUCCCUCCGAUCCACCAUUAGUUUUAUAUAGCUGAGAUCAUGCCAUGUGCCCGAGUUCAUGUGCACCUUGUUGAAAUAUUUAACGCUCAUCAAUUGGUAGAUCAACCACCUUGACAAAUGAGUCAAUAAAGGGUCCUACUUUAACUUCAUUUAUAAUAAUUGAUUAUGUUCAAUCCAUCGAUCCAUAAUGUUGCAAUUUUGGACUCUUGAAUUGUAUUAAUAAAGUUCAUCUAAAGGUUAUGGUUGCAAGCUCAAUAAACAUAUCAUGUAAAUGCCCACAUUUGUUCAACUCAAAAAAAAAAAAUUUACUUGUACAAAGGCAAGACACAAAUUUGUUGAGAAAUUUGAGAGGUAAGUUUUGUAGAGAACUUAGGUGUAAAUUUAAAGUGAAUUUUUGGAAAAAAUAUCUAUUCUCUUCUCUUUUUUUUCCCCUCAAUUUUCUUGUGUCGUAUAUCAUAAAUUUGUUAAAUAAAAUGAGCGUUUUACUCGUCUAUAUGAGUUGCUAAUUUUCUAAGUCAAGGUGAAGGGUGAAACUUUUUCAAGUGAGUUUUAACUUUAUUGUUUUAAUAAUAUGUUUAUAGUUUGUACUUUUUACCUGUUAUUUUCUUAUCAUAUUUAUCUAUAGAUUUAGAUCCCCUUUGGAUCUAUAUGGGGCUUAGACAUAAUGUCGACACACCAAUGUAAUAGUGAGAACACUCAAAUGUAGAUAUGGCACAUUAUAUACUUAACCCCCUUAUUUAUCCAUAGAGUGGUUAGUUAAAAACUAAGUCACAUAAUAUUCAAACUAUUAAAAGAAAUACAAAAAUAAAUAUGACAAAGUAUUAUAACCUUGAAAUCUUGUAACCUUAGCACUUUUUUUUUAAUUUAGACUAUUCUUUAUUCAUUUCUUUUUCUGCAUUAUUUUUAUUUAAUAGUUGACUACUAAAUUUUUAGAUUCUUUGUUAUUUGACUCCAGACUCAUUAGGUAAUAUUAUAACUAGGCACUUUUAUACUUAAGAGCAAUAAUCUACUUUUGCGUCGUGUCAUGAACAUUAUAUCUAAACGCCCACAUAGAUCUAAGGAGAUCUAAAUCUACAAAUAAUUAUGAAAUGAAAACAACAUAGAAAAUAUAACUUAUAAACAUGUAACUGAAAAAAAAAAAUUUAAAACUCACUUGAGAAAGUACAUAAAUCUACAAUUUGAAUAUGUAAGGUCCACCUCUCACCUUAGCUUAGAAACUAUUGAAACACACUUGAGAAAGUAAUUAAAUAUUGAUAAGCAAACACUCAUUUUAUUUAAUAAAUUUGUGAAAGUACAAUACAAAGAAACUGAAAACAAAAGAAAAGAGAAGAGAAAAAUCUCUUCUUAUUUAAUACACUUUUUCCUAAAAUUCACUCUAAAAUUACACUAAUUUUUACUAUAAAAAUCAAAUCUCAAAUUCUACAAAAAUUCUACAAGGUCAUUUAUGAAAUCUCUUGCCUUUAUACAAACAAAUUAUAAGUUGAUCAAGUGUGGGCAUUUACACGAUAUUUUUAGUGAGCUUCCAACCUCCUUCCAACCACAACCUUUAGAUGAGCUUUACGAACACAAUCCAAGAGUCUAAAAUUGCAACCAUUGUGAUCAUUACGAACCAUUGGAUUUAACAUUAUCAAUGGUUACAAAUGAAGUCAAAAUGAAACCUUCCAUUGGCUCUUUUAUCAAGUUGGUUGAACUACUAAAUUGACAAGUGUCAAAUCUAGUGUAAGGAGAUUCAUGUGACCUCAAGCAAAUGGCAUAAUCUUGGCCUUUCAGAAUUAACGUUUGAUCAAAAGGCUAAGAAUUCUUCUAAAGGCUUCUAAGUCUCUAAAAUUCAAAUUUCAUGUCCUUUUUUCGAUCCAAUAAUCAUGAAUUUAGGGAUUUACAAUUCAUAAAAUAGGUUAGAGAUUUGUAAAUGUGACGAAAUUGUUAGUGUUAUUGAUAUUGUAAGUAAAAAAUGAUAAUUUUAACCUUUAUUAAAUGCAUACUUUCUAAUUUUAAUCACACACUCCAAAUAGCAUAUUAUUAAUCCCUAGCGAUUAAAGUGCUAAUUGUAAUAAAUAAAAGGGUAGAUACUUGUUUAAUUCUUAUUUUUAAUCUAAUAAAAUUAUUAAAAAGUCAACUCAGCAGCAAUCUAAAUUUAUAUUUUAUAAGAGUUUUAUUCUCAUAUAAGAAUCUUGAUUGUCUCUAAAAUCCACAAAUGAUAAUUAUCUAUCAAAUGUCAUAGUUCACGGUCCAAAAAAUAACACUAACACAUAAAAUUCUUAGUUUACAAAUAAAUCUACUAUAAAAUAUUAAAUUAUAUUAAAAAAAGAUGUACUAAUACAGGUUUGCGGUUUGGGUUAAAUUUUCAACCUAUCCCAGCCCGUAAAUAGUGUGGGUUUAAAAAAAAACCAAUCCCUUUGAGUUGGUAAAAUUUUAUUAUCCAAUCAACCGACAAGAAAUUGUGCGGCUUAUGCGGAUUGUCCGGAUCUAAGGUAAAAUAAUUUCAUUUAGAUGGCUAAUCGGGAGUCAAGAGGUGCUAUUUUAUUUAAUUAUAUCAAAUUGUUUUAACCGUAAAUGGCAACUUGUUUUCUUAAAAGAAGAAGCUAAAAUAUGAGUGUUGAAACUGUGGAUUAAGUUGCAAAUAAAUCCUAACUAUUUUUAUUUUAAUUCUUCCACACUAACUUUAUCACGUUUAAAAAGAGAAAUACGUGCCGACUAAUAUUGUGGUGUUCUUAUCCCUUUUCAUAGGUGUCACUAUCAAAAGUUUGUCAAUGUCAAUUAAUAAAUUUGACGAAAAAAGGCCCAACAAUUAUUGAUGAGGUACGUGUUGUAUUUGAUUAUCUCAAAAUAAAAAUUAUUAGAUCAUUAUUGACCGUAAGUAUCUUACUAUUUCUUAAUAUUUUUAAAAUAUAACCAACCUAUGUUUUUAAAAUUUACAAAAGAGACAUGCUAACGCCACUCAAAAAUAGUUAUUACUUACAAGUAUAAGAAUAAUAAGUUAUAAUAUAACCCAGUGAAUCCGGAGUCGAGCCACAAGAAAUUUAAAAAUCUGGUAAUCAAUUAUUAAAUAAAAAUAAUUGUAGAAAAAGAAGUUAAAAAGGAGUAGCCUAAUUAAAAAGGUGCUAAGGUUACAAGAUUCAUUCUUGGUAUUCAAAUCAUAGUCACGGUACUUUCUCAUAUUUAUAUUUUGGAUUUUUUAAUAGUUUGAAUAUUAUGUGACUUAGUUCUUAAUUAACCACUCUAUGAACAAAUAUAAGGAUUAAGUACAAAAUGUACCGUAACUGUAUCGAAACAUUUCUACUACUGUAUUGGUGCAUUAAUAUUAAGUCUAAACACCCACAUAAAUCUAAGGGGACCUAAAUAUACAAAUAUGAAUUACUCUAUGAACCAAAAUGGAAUUAAGUACAUAAUGUGAUACGACCACAUUGAAAUAUUCUGGCUACCACAUUGGUGUGUCAACAUUAUGUUAAAUCCAGUGCAAUGAGGUACAUGCGAGCUCAGACACAUGGCACAGUCUCAGCUAUUUUGAAUUAAUGUUGGAUGGAAGGGCUAACUAUUCUUCCAAAGGCUUCUAAGUCUCCGGAGUCUAAAUUUCAUGUUCGCUUUUCUAAUCUAAGCAUCAUGGAAUUUAGGGAUUUACAUAUAAAGCAAAAAAAAAAAAAAAUCAUAUUUAAGAACUAAUAAAAAUAGAUAAUUCAUAAAAUAUGUUUGUGAUUUGUAAAUGUGAUGAAAUUGUUAGUGGUAUCAACACCGUAGAUGAAAAAUGAUAUUUUAACUUUUAUUAAAUAUACAAUUUUUAAAGUUAAUUAAUCAGUCUACUCAAUAUAAUGUCAAGCAUCACUGUAAAUAAUAGGCUUAAACGAUCUCAUUAAAAAAUACCCAACAUUUGCAAAAUGGUACAUAUUAUUUUGAUAUGUUUAAUCAUACUAUAAUAUAUUCUUUUGAUAUUGUUAGAAAUAUUGGGUGAUAUUUGGGUGAAAUCAUUUAAGCAUAUUAUUUACAAUGAUGCAUGAUGUAAUAUGAUUGGGGAGGUUGAUUAAUAAAGUUGGUUGAAUAUUAGAUUAUUUUGGGAGUGUUUAUUUUACAGAUUUGUAGAUUGAAAAUGUGGAAUAAGGAGUCUUUGCUGGUUUUCCAUAAAAUAUUUAUUAAUGAAUUUAUUUAGUCACGAUUCCAAAUAAGCCUACCAUUAGAAUUCGGGACGGGAUAUUUCAUAAUGUUGGUAGGCAAGAAUACAUCUACAAGUUUCCUAUUUUCGCAAUAAAUAUGUCAAUGAUUUCAAUAUUUGAUUCGUGAAAUCGUAGAUGGAUGUCUUUAGGAGUAUGGGCCAUCUUACGUGUUAAAAAACCAAAAAUGGAAACCGAAAAGCUUAUAUACAUCUAUAGUCGAUCUCAUCCAAAUCAAUUCUCGUUUAAGAAUCAAUCAAUCAAUCAGUCAAUCAAUCAAAAAGUGGUAAUGAGAAACUCGUGAUGAAAUGCCUUAAAAUCUACGCCACAGAAUCGGAUCGAUGGUGCCUUAUCAUUCAAUCGUAGUAUGUGGACAAAAUACAAUCAACUGAGAUUUAGCAGCAUCGCCUCUUCACGAGAAGCCACGGACCUAUCAUUAUCAUAUGAAGUGUCCUUUUUGACAUUUUUGUUCAUUGAACUCGUUGAAGCACAUUGACAAGUAUGUCCAAGGUCUAGCUCUACUAAUUGGUAGAUAAUCUUCCUAAGAUUUAAGUCUUUAGUUCAUGUAAUGUGUUAGAUUAUAAUUCUAGUAUAUUGCAUUUUGUAAUUCUGUUACUGGUUCGAAAGGCAAUCACAACCUUUUUUUUUUAUUCCCUCUAGUGAUAUGCAAAAUGGAUCUUGCUUUGACUUUUUUUUUCCCUCAUAUCAUAUACCAUAUAAUAAUAAUAGUAAAUUCUUAAUUUUUUUUUGGAAUUCGCAGGCGUAAAGUGAAAAAUGAAAAAAAAAAAAAAUCAAACCUUAUCAUCGCACAUUUUAACUUAAAUUUGGGUUUCCGCCCUUAUUAACAGAAAUUUAAAGAAAUUAUUCAUGAUAAACCAUAAAGAGGGAUUAGCGCACGUAAUUAAGGAUAAUAUUAUAGUUUUUUGUUAAGGAACACGAUUCAUGUAUGCUUUGACGAACAACAUAUUCAAGGAGCAAAUUAGUCCAAGCAUGCAUUAUCUCAUAGCCUACAACAACACUUAUUUCAUUUAUUUAUUUAUUAGUUAUGAGAUAGUCGAUGGAGGAAAUUCAACCAAUACGAGGAACCCUAAUCACCUUCCCUUUCUUG